AUUGAACGCUGGCGGCAGGCCUAACACAUGCAAGUCGAGCGGUUGAAGGUAGCUUGCUCCUGGAUUUAGAGGCGGACGGGUGAGUAAUGCCUAGGAAUCUGCCUGGUAGUGGGGGAUAACGUCCGGAAACGGGCGCUAAUACCGCAUACGUUAUGAAGGUGAAAGAGGGGGAUUUUGGUACCUCGCGCUAUCAGCUUAGCUUAUGUGGGAUUACCUAUUUGGUGGGGUAAAGGCCUACCAAGACGACGAUCAGUAACUGGUCUGAGAGGAGGAACAGUCACACGGGAACGGAGACACGGUCAAGAUGCUUAAGGGAGGCAGAAGAGGGGAAUAUUGGACAAGGGGGGAAGGCCGGACAAAGAAAGGCGGCGUGGUGGAAGAAGGUCUUCGGAUGGAAAAGCACUUUAGGAUGGAAGGAAGGGGAGUAAGUUAAUACCUUGAUGAAGUGACGGUACCAACAGAAUAAGCAACGGCUAACUACGUG
RNAcentral lists this ribosomal RNA (484 nucleotides) under uncultured bacterium. RNAcentral describes it as "partial 16S ribosomal RNA". It matches the Rfam family "Bacterial small subunit ribosomal RNA", at positions 29 to 507 of the family's 1533-position model. The record is from RNAcentral.